CCUGGUGGCUCAGAUGGUAAAGCAUCUGCCUGCAAUGCAGGAGACCCAGGUUCGAUUCCUGGGUCAGGA
RNAcentral lists this transfer RNA (69 nucleotides) under Bos taurus (domestic cattle). It matches the Rfam family "tRNA". Rfam says of the family: Transfer RNA (tRNA) molecules are approximately 80 nucleotides in length. Their secondary structure includes four short double-helical elements and three loops (D, anti-codon, and T loops). RNAcentral also lists the same sequence under 2 other names. Lineage: Eukaryota; Metazoa; Chordata; Mammalia; Artiodactyla; Bovidae. The record is from Rfam by way of RNAcentral.